GAUGAACGCUAGCUACAGGCUUAACACAUGCAAGUCGAGGGGAAACGACAUCGAAAGCUUGCUUUUGAUGGGCGUCGACCGGCGCACGGGUGAGUAACGCGUAUCCAACCUGCCCAUCACUUGGGAAUAACCUUGCGAAAGUAAGACUAAUACCCAAUGAUAUCCCACGAAGGCAUCGGAAUGGGAUUAAAGAUUUAUCGGUGAUGGAUGGGGAUGCGUCUGAUUAGCUUGUUGGCGGGGUAACGGCCCACCAAGGCAACGAUCAGUAGGGGUUCUGAGAGGAAGGUCCCCCACAUUGGAACUGAGACACGGUCCAAACUCCUACGGGAGGCAGCAGUGAGGAAGAUUGGUCAAUGGGCGAGAGCCUGAACCAGCCAAGUAGCGUGCAGGAAGACGGCCCUAUGGGUGGUAAACUGCUUUUAGAAGGGAAUAAAGUGGGUCACGUGUGACUUUUUGCAUGUACCUUAUGAAUAAGGACCGGCUAAUUCCGUG
RNAcentral lists this ribosomal RNA (492 nucleotides) under uncultured bacterium. RNAcentral's name for it is "partial 16S ribosomal RNA". It matches the Rfam family "Bacterial small subunit ribosomal RNA", at positions 28 to 507 of the family's 1533-position model. The record is from RNAcentral.